Molecule: ribosomal RNA, 162 nt
Filed under: Eucalyptus polita
Lineage: Eukaryota; Viridiplantae; Streptophyta; Magnoliopsida; Myrtales; Myrtaceae
Description: 5.8S ribosomal RNA
Rfam family: 5.8S ribosomal RNA
About the family: 5.8S ribosomal RNA (5.8S rRNA) is a component of the large subunit of the eukaryotic ribosome. It is transcribed by RNA polymerase I as part of the 45S precursor that also contains 18S and 28S rRNA.
Source: RNAcentral
AUAACGACUCUCGGCAACGGAUAUCUMGGCUCUCGCAUCGAUGAAGAAAGYAUCGAAYUGCGAUACYUGSUGUGAAUUGCAGAAUCCCGUGAACCAUCGAGUCUUUGAACGCAAGUUGCGCCCGAAACCUUUGSUYGAGGGCACGUUUGCCUGGGUGUCACA